This 301-nucleotide ribosomal RNA is filed under the name uncultured bacterium. Its description in RNAcentral is "partial 16S ribosomal RNA". It matches the Rfam family "Bacterial small subunit ribosomal RNA", at positions 509 to 807 of the family's 1533-position model. The record is from RNAcentral.
CAGUCGCCGCGGGAAUACGGAGGGGGCUAGCGUUGUUCGGAAUUACUGGGCGUAAAGCGCACGUAGGCGGCUUGGUAAGUUAGAAGUGAAAGCCUGGAGCUCAACUCCAGAAUUGCCUUUAAGACUGCCGAGCUAGCAGGUGAGAGAGGUAAGUGGAAUUCCGAGUGUAGAGGUGAAAUUCGUAGAUAUUCGGAAGAACACCAGUGGCGAAGGCGGCUUACUGGCUCAUACUGGACGCUGAGGUGCGAAAGCGUGGGGAGCAAACAGGAUUAGAUACCCCCGUAGUCCCUGUCUCUUAUAC